UAUAAAUGUCAUUGAGCAUUACUAUUCGAACAUGGAUCGAAUUUGUUAGCAUGGUAGCAAACCUUUAUUAUAUGAUGCAUGCAUUCAUAUUCAUGAUUAUGGGCAUAGUAGCAUAGUUUUCCUACUACUGCAUUUACAGCUUUCAGAUACAUAUCUAUCUAUCUAUCUGUUGUUACUUGUGCCCACUGGGACCUAGUGGGGAGAUCGGCAGGGUCGGCGGCCGAGCCCACUGGGAACUAUGGAAGAUAGUUCUCACCCCACUCUAUUUCCAGUGGUAGGUUCAGGGCUGCAGAGUCAGGACCGCGGCAAGGGCGUCGCGCCCGACCAGUGAGACCGUGGUAGCAUAGUAGCUUUCCUUUUUGCAUUAGUCACCUAUGUAUUGAGAGAGAUUCUUGUAGGUGAGGUUGGAGAGC
RNAcentral lists this long non-coding RNA (413 nucleotides) under Ananas comosus (pineapple). RNAcentral describes it as "long non-coding RNA (ACOM_LNC042968)". Lineage: Eukaryota; Viridiplantae; Streptophyta; Magnoliopsida; Poales; Bromeliaceae. The record is from RNAcentral.